This is a long non-coding RNA of Anolis carolinensis (green anole), 1005 nucleotides long. RefSeq lists it as uncharacterized. Lineage: Eukaryota; Metazoa; Chordata; Lepidosauria; Squamata; Anolidae. The record is from RefSeq and is a predicted model, not a curated record. The transcript has 2 exons.
CCAGAGACCUAGCUGGAAGCGGCGGCGCGCACGCUUGCCAGCCACUUCACCUGGUGGGAGGCUGGCGAGUGUGCACGCCGCCGCUUCCGACAAGGUCUCUGGGCUGCCUGGACCUGGUCUCAGCAGCAUGCCAUGGCGGAAGUAGCACCGGAAGAGGAGGCUGCCUCCAACUCCCAGCCAGGCUUCGGGAGGAAGUAGAGCCUGGUAGUUGGGCCGCAAAGAAGAUCCCGCCCCUUUCCCCGGUGCUCUGCUUUUGGCUACGAGGAGUACGGGGGCGUGGCCUCUGAAGUUCCCUCUCUUUGGUCCUCCAGACACAUUCUGACCUCAACUCCCAGAAUUCAGGUGCACUGACUUUACUGGGUAGCUAUGGGUUUUUUGGGCUGUAUGCCCAUGUUCCAGAAGCAUUCUCUCCUGAUGUUUAGCCCACAUCUAUGGCAGGCAUCCUCAGAAGUUCUGAGGUCCGUUAGAAGCUAGGCUUAGUGCUGAGACACUCACGUCCAUCUGUCCUCCGAGCCUCCAUGUGUACAAGGUCAGGCUCCUUGUCCAAGCCUGUGACAGACCUGAGAGAAAAGAAGAAGAGAAGGAAAUCAAUCUGUGAGGUGGAAUGGUGUAGUAGCAAGCAAAGGUCAAAGUGGAUGAGAAAUGGAAAGAAGUAGAAAGCAAGUUGGCUUCUUCUCAUUUUAAGUAAGCUACCCUGAGACUGGAAAGGAUUUAGUGCAUGAAGAAGCACAAAAACCAAGGAGCUCAGAUUUAAUGAAGAGACUAGUUCAAAAAGCACAGAGAACUACCAUUGUGUGCCCUUGUGAAAUAUUCUCAUAUAGAACCAAUGCUAUAAUGUUUACCUUCUAAAACAGGCCUUGCCAUAUUUGUAUAAGCCCUAAAUCAGGACUUGAGGAACAUGAAGCCCUUCAAUACAAUUGAACUGUCCAGUAACAUUUUGAGGGCUACUUCAUUCCUCUUCCUGCCCUAUACUAUCACAGUUGAAUAAAAUUCUGAAAGGAUGUA